Molecule: non-coding RNA, 2522 nt
Organism: Coturnix japonica (Japanese quail)
Lineage: Eukaryota; Metazoa; Chordata; Aves; Galliformes; Phasianidae
Source: RefSeq, a predicted model, not a curated record
AUAUUUGUUCUCUUAUUCUUUUUGGUCAAAGAAUGGGAUGGAAGCAAAGCGAGGGGCACGUUUCUUUCAAAGUCUAAAGGGCAACAUGUUGAAUUUCAUAUUUCUAUAACAACAUGCACAGCGCUAAUAUGCACACGAGGAACUGAAAAGCAAUUAUAGCAAUCUAAUAUUAGAGAUCAAAAGUGAGGCGAAGCAGGGGAAUCAGGCAUGAAAUUUGCUCAUUGUUCAUUUCUCAGACUCUACAUGAACGUUCUUGCAUGGGAAACUUGGGCUGCGGGGAGUUGCAUCACACAGUCACAAAGCUGUUCUUUGAAAGAAGCUUUUUGCAUUAAAAAAACAAACAAUAACAACAAGAGAGUUCUUCUGACGGAUCACAGAUGAAGCAGAGCGGUUUUAUUUCCUGCCAAGGGAACUGGUUAAGAGAAUUAGAAGCUGUCUGAGGCAUCAAGCCGGGUGUGAUAAUGAGAUGGUGAGAUGGGUUAUAAAUAAUGUCAUUAAUUCCCAUGUCCUGCUAACACGUGCCACUCCACUUAAUGUACAAAUCCCAAAUCCCUCAGUGCAACGUUUGCUGACCUCGUCCUUAAAGGAUCUAAUAGCAUGAAGCCUACUUUGCAUGAAUCUGCUAGCUAGAAUUGGUAAUAAUUAUGUGGCACCAUCUCUGCUCCCAAACUAAAAGGCAGAAGGAUUUCUGUCACCAUAAACCAUGACUUUCUUCAUGUCUUCUGUUGCCUUUUUCAGGUGCUGGGAAUGCAUCCUGCCUCUCCUCUCACCAAGCCCUUUGGGAUGUCAAAAUGCCCUGUAUGCAGCUGGCGCGGCACCUGAAGGAAAUCACCACUUCUACCUGAAAUGGUCCUUUAUUCUCCAUCAGCAUCACAUGUAGUCUGAGUAAUGCUUCUUCUGCUUCUAUAUUAAGAGAGAGAAUGCACGGGGUGUUUUCAACAGGAAGGAAAAUCUCCUCUCUGUGACACUGUGACUUUUGUCACUGACAGUUUCUGUAGUGUUCACAUUUUCUUCUUCAUUCCUGGAGUCAGGACAGUUUCAUUAUCUCCGAAGAUAGUAUGUAAAUUGCCCAUCUUGUCAAUGAAUUAAACCCUGGUAAUUAAGGGCUUUUCUAAAUAACCUAAUAGAGAUGCUUCUGCUUUGAUGGGGUGAGUUCAGCUGCAAAGCAAUAUUUAUAAUGGACUACAAAAACUGUGAUCAACAGGAAUGCUUUGUCUGGAGAGUAAUGAUCCUCUCUGCCCUGCAUGGACAUGGCUCAACCUCUUCUUGACAAGGAUGGAAAUGAAGAACUGCUGAACCAGUGGUCAUUUCAUCAAGGGAUUCUGGGGACCUUUGAUUCUUCCAAAGAAACCCUUCCCCAGCCAACCUGACUCAGUGACAUUGCUGAUGAUGAUGUUGUGCUGGGAUAUCUCUGUGUCAACCUGGAGACUGAUGCCAGAAGAAUUGAUUUAAUUCCUGGUUUGGCCUCAGCAGCUCCUCUGUGGAUUGCAUAAGAAACUUUGCUUCUUUGCAGUUAUAAUCUGGUCCUGAGGACAGGAAGCUUUGCCAUCACCUCAGCCUUGGGCCUGCCUUUGCCAUCUGCUGCUGCAGCAGGACUUGGAGGUGGCAUAAGACACAGAGAUCUUCUGGAAGAAAUUAAAAGUGACUCUUUUAUACUGGAUAAAUUGAGAUAAAUUUUGCCCGUGCCUGCAUUUUGCUCGUGGCAUCCAUCUUUGCCCAUGAAAAGUUACAGCUGGAGUUGAGCAGGACUUGAGGAAUGGUCGCAUUGCACUGCAUAAAGUUACAGAUCACCAGGCUGCAGUCGAGCUGUGUACAGAGGGCUCAUUGAAGCAGCCAGGAGUUUAAUCGGAAGUGAAAAACAUAAAGUUACUUCUGCCCACAUAGACUGCUGAGAGAAGAGAAGCCUCAGCUCGGGAGGAUUUAGCAUUCUGAUUUUCCUGGAAAGAUGAUUCCCAGCACAAAAGAGAAUUUACAGAGCAUGCUCUGAUGCUUCUUCCAAAAACUUCCAUGCAGUCUGGGUGAGAUAUUUUGGACAGAGAAUGAUGCUGAGAAGAUACACCAUCAGCACCUUGGACCUGGGCAUCCCAGAUGCUCCAUAGCAGAGAUCUGUGCCAGCUCUGCACGAACCUGACUCAUACUUAAAAGCAGGAGCAGCCAUUCCCAUUGCUCUGGGUCAAACAUGAUUCCCUCUCAUGAUGUUGGCGGCACUCAGGUUGCCUGGAACAGGGGAACAAUUAACAGCUACCAUUAAAGACAAGAUCUGCAUUGCAUUAUUGGACUAAUAUUGCUGAGAAUAAUGUGACCAGAAUAGCUAUUCUUGCCUCAAGGCCAGAAAUGAUCUAUGCCAAGCCCACCUCCAUCCCUCCCCCUGUAUUGCCUCAUCUAUGCUGACAUUUCCUUGUGAAUAUUUAAGCAUCCUUAAUAUAGCAGUGUCAUCGAAGCUGACGACAGUGAUCCCCAGAUCUCCCUUGGCAGUGGACUGACUGUCUAAGUGUUCUUGCUGUUGGAGAGGAGCACGGACA